CAAGAGACAGAGAGGAGAAAUCGCAAUUCUUAUCAGAGGGAAUCAUCGCAGCGAUACAUUCACACUGCUGCCAUGGCAACGGAGCAUUCCAAAGAAUUUUGAUGAGCGAUCAGGAGAGAGAGAGAGAGAGAGAGAGAGAGAGAGAGAGAGAGAGAGAGAGAGAGGAAGGUGGGGGAGAUGGCAAGGAAGACAAUUUGUUACCUGAACUACAUGAGCAAGAGUGAGGAUGAUAUUCAGCUCUAUAUCAUUCCUGCAGGAAAUCAGACAGACACAGCAACACUUCGGAGGAAGAACUGGAUGCUGGAUUUAAAGGCUGCACAGCUGCCAAAUCAGGAAGAGGCUCGGCAGCGGGAAACCAAUUUGGCAUGUAACAUUACACCCAGAGCUCAUAUCCCAUCAUCCUCUGCUCCGUCAGACCGCUUUCCUUUGCCCUGAACCUGCCUGGAGUAAGAAAACAAACCUCCAGGAGAACAUGCUGGGAACAAACAGACAGACCCAACCGCGUGCCAACGAUAUUCACAAGCUUUCACAAAGGAAAGAGAAAGUGCAGUGAGAUCUCUUAAAUAUCUCAGUUCCUUCUCCAGCAAUCAGACUGAAUGAAAACAGCACAGUACAUCUCAGCAAUGUCUCAAAUGCUCAGAUUUCCUAAGAGAGAAUCCUCAAAACUCACAAGAUCUCAAUAGAACCUCAGUCAUUUCUCAUCAAAUUUUAUAGCUCUGUACUCUUACUGUAUGUCAACAUUUGACUUAGUUUUACUUUUUCUGAGGAAUAUUAAGAUAGAUAUCUCAGGCAAAGUUCAUACUGUACUUCAAUAAAAAAUAACUACAGUGAGUCUCAAGAGUUAUAAAACAGCGGCCUAAUAAAAAUGAAUAA
Long non-coding RNA from Cyprinus carpio carpio, 873 nucleotides. NCBI's taxonomy places the organism in Eukaryota, Metazoa, Chordata, Actinopteri, Cypriniformes, Cyprinidae. The record is from Ensembl.